GUUACAGCUAGUAUUUAGCCCAAAUGAAGAAAUCACUAAAAUUUAUGAGAAGACCAAUGCAGGCAAUGAGCCAGACUUGGAAGACGAACAGGUUUGCUGUGAAGCAUUGGAAGUGAUGACCUUAUGUUUUGCCUUGAUUCCAACAGCCUUAGAUGCUCUUAGUAAAGAAAAGGCUUGGCAGACAUUCAUCAUUGACUUACUAUUGCACUGUCACAGCAAGUAAGUAUCUUUUUUAAUUGUAAGAAACUUACUUUUUGUAAAUGGAGUGAAUUAAUUUAGGCUGGCAAAAUGUGUCCCCAAAAUUAAAUAUUUAUUGUCUCUAUGGCAUAUUGGUAUUGAGGAAAAUUUUAUUAUUUAAGAGUGUUUUGCUUAACCUAAAUGUUUGGUUUUAGUCUCUGCAAAUGCCAAUAUUAAUUGUCAAAGCAUGAUUUUUUUCUAAUCUUAGAAUUUAGUUUUACCUAGGAGGUAUAUAGAUUAGCCUAUUUCUAAAAAUCUAGUUUGCAAGAUUUAAAUCAUAUAGGACAUUAGCCUCCUAUCUUAGAUUCCUAGAUGCUAGGUUUUUUUAAAGCCAAACAGAAUUUGAUAUGAAAUUUGUAAGACAGGGUCAUUGUAAGAACUUUUGCAGUUUACACUGAUAAUAAAGAUCAGUUAUAAAGCUCAUGUUU
RNAcentral lists this small RNA (665 nucleotides) under Pan troglodytes (chimpanzee). RNAcentral's name for it is "retained intron". The record is from RNAcentral. Lineage: Eukaryota; Metazoa; Chordata; Mammalia; Primates; Hominidae.